This 495-nucleotide ribosomal RNA is filed under the name uncultured bacterium. RNAcentral describes it as "partial 16S ribosomal RNA". It matches the Rfam family "Bacterial small subunit ribosomal RNA", at positions 28 to 507 of the family's 1533-position model. The record is from RNAcentral.
GACGAACGCUGGCGGCGUGCCUAAUACAUGCAAGUAGAACGCUGAAGGAGGAGCUUGCUUCUCUGGAUGAGUUGCGAACGGGUGAGUAACGCGUAGGUAACCUGCCUGGUAGCGGGGGAUAACUAUUGGAAACGAUAGCUAAUACCGCAUAAGAUUGACUAUUGCAUGAUAGUCAGUUAAAAGGUGCAAUUGCAUCACUACCAGAUGGACCUGCGUUGUAUUAGCUAGUUGGUGGGGUAACGGCUCACCAAGGCGACGAUACAUAGCCGACCUGAGAGGGUGAUCGGCCACACUGGGACUGAGACACGGCCCAGACUCCUACGGGAGGCAGCAGUAGGGAAUCUUCGGCAAUGGACGGAAGUCUGACCGAGCAACGCCGCGUGAGUGAAGAAGGUUUUCGGAUCGUAAAGCUCUGUUGUAGGAGAAGAACGAGUGUGAGAGUGGAAAGUUCACACUGUGACGGUAUCUUACCAGAAAGGGACGGCUAACUACGUG